This is a non-coding RNA of Arachis ipaensis, 158 nucleotides long. The record is from RefSeq and is a predicted model, not a curated record. Lineage: Eukaryota; Viridiplantae; Streptophyta; Magnoliopsida; Fabales; Fabaceae.
GCCAGAAAGAUCGUAAGCUUGAUCCUCAAAUUGAAGAGCAAUUUGGUGGUGGGAGAUUGCUAGCUUUCAUUGCUUCUCGACCUGAUCAAUAUGGCAGGGCUGACGGCUAUAUUUUGGAAGAUAAGGAGCUUGAAUUUUAUAUGAAGAAAAUCCAGAAG